GUAGGUGGCAAGCGUUGUCCGGAAUUAUUGGGGCGUAAAGCGCGCGCAGGCGGUUCUUUAAGUCUGAUGUGAAAGCCCACGGGCUCAACCGUGGAGGGUCAUUGGAAACUGGAGAACUUGAGUACAGAAGAGGAAAGCGGAAUUCCACGUGUAGCGGUGAAAUGCGCAGAGAUGUGGAGGAACACCAGUGGCGAAGGCGGCUUUCUGGUCUGUAACUGACGCUGAAGCGCGAAAGCGUGGGGAGCAAACAGGAUUAGAUACCCUGGUAGUCCACGCCGUAAACGAUGAGUGCUAAGUGUUAGGGGGUUUCCGCCCCUUAGUGCUGCAGCUAACGCAUUAAGCACUCCGCCUGGGGAGUACGGCCGCAAAGGCUG
RNAcentral lists this ribosomal RNA (374 nucleotides) under uncultured organism. RNAcentral describes it as "partial 16S ribosomal RNA". It matches the Rfam family "Bacterial small subunit ribosomal RNA", at positions 527 to 896 of the family's 1533-position model. The record is from RNAcentral.